RNAcentral lists this ribosomal RNA (393 nucleotides) under uncultured bacterium. RNAcentral describes it as "bacterial SSU rRNA". It matches the Rfam family "Bacterial small subunit ribosomal RNA", at positions 29 to 417 of the family's 1533-position model. The record is from RNAcentral.
AGUGAACGCUGGCGGUAGGCCUAACACAUGCAAGUCGAACGGCAGCACAGCAGUAGCAAUACUGUGGGUGGCGAGUGGCGGACGGGUGAGGAAUACAUCGGAAUCUACCUUUUCGUGGGGGAUAGCGUAGGGAAACUUACGCUAAUACCGCAUACGACCUUAGGGUGAAAGUAGGGGAUCGCAAGACCUUACGCGGAUAGAUGAGCCGAUGUCGGAUUAGCUAGUUGGCGGGGUAAAGGCCCACCAAGGCUACGAUCCGUAGCUGGUCUGAGAGGAUGAUCAGCCACACUGGAACUGAGACACGGUCCAGACUCCUACGGGAGGCAGCAGUGGGGAAUAUUGGACAAUGGGCGCAAGCCUGAUCCAGCCAUACCGCGUGGGUGAAGAAGGCCU